CCCGCAGAAUCACUCUGGUGACGCUGUCUGAGACAUCACCGGGAAUUCUGUGGUGA
RNAcentral lists this microRNA precursor (56 nucleotides) under Heligmosomoides polygyrus. RNAcentral describes it as "microRNA hpo-mir-40h precursor". Its record names the gene hpo-mir-40h. The record is from miRBase by way of RNAcentral. Lineage: Eukaryota; Metazoa; Nematoda; Chromadorea; Rhabditida; Heligmosomidae.